Molecule: ribosomal RNA, 273 nt
Filed under: uncultured bacterium
Lineage: Bacteria
Description: partial 16S ribosomal RNA
Rfam family: Bacterial small subunit ribosomal RNA
Source: RNAcentral
UACGUAGGUGGCAAGCGUUAUCCGGAAUUAUUGGGCGUAAAGCGCGCGCAGGCGGUUUCUUAAGUCUGAUGUGAAAGCCCACGGCUCAACCGUGGAGGGUCAUUGGAAACUGGGGAACUUGAGUGCAGAAGAGAAAAGCGGAAUUCCACGUGUAGCGGUGAAAUGCGUAGAGAUGUGGAGGAACACCAGUGGCGAAGGCGGCUUUUUGGUCUGUAACUGACGCUGAGGCGCGAAAGCGUGGGGAGCAAACAGGAUUAGAUACCCCGGUAGUCC